Non-coding RNA from Equus caballus (horse), 2708 nucleotides. NCBI's taxonomy places the organism in Eukaryota, Metazoa, Chordata, Mammalia, Perissodactyla, Equidae. The record is from RefSeq and is a predicted model, not a curated record.
UACACAUGCACACACACACAACUUCCUCAGAAAUGGUAGAGCGGGAAAGUUGACGGUGGGAAACAUGGUUCCAGAUCCUGAGCAGCAGUUACUGUGAGUAGGUGGCACCUACCGCCUCUCCAGAGCCCUGGAGCACAAAAGAACUCAGUUCUUGACACCCAGCCUGGACAGCUCGAAAGGUCAGAGACAUGCCAGCCUGCUUCUCAGCUCCUUCUGUUGGCUGUUCCCUGAUUCCUCUCCCUGCUGUGAGACCUCCCUCCACCCUGGCACAGCCCCCUUGAAACGCAGCUGCGAAGAGAAAGCAGACAUACCUGCUGUUCUCUCCAAACGCUAGUGUCAAGGAUCCUGUCUCAGAAAGAAGAAGAGUGCACGCGUGCAAGGUGCGAUGAAGGAGUACAAACAACCUACACGCCAGGACAGGGAAUAGGAAAUCAGCAUGCAAGGCAGCAGACAGGUAUCUGGGAGGAAAAAGAGGAGUGAGGAAGGACGGCAGUGGAAUCCCACCCUGAGACACCGAGCUGCCAACACAGCGAAGAUUUCCUCAGAACUCCCAAAGGAUCUCCCAGCUCCCUCUUCCUCCCGCCAGCUCUGUAAAAUAGGAUUGAUUCCCUGAGAAAACCUCAGUCCAUGACGUGCCGACCUUUGAUAUGAGGCUCGGGACCUGUAGCUAACAAAUACAUAGACUGAAAUCUCCUGAAGAACGUCAACAGCAGAGGGCCCUCAACACAGGGUCCUGGUCAUCCAGCUCAUGCUGCCUGCAGAGGAGGAACGGCCCCCUCUUUCCCCUCACCAUGUGGCUAAUACACCCAAAGCCCUCUGCCCUUUCUCUGUAGAUUCCCACAGGGCAGGGUACAGAACUCCAGCGGUUGGGAGUGGGGCUGCCCAGACCCUGAGGCUCAAGGAUCAGGAAAACCGUGAUGCCCGAUAUUUCCCAGCCAUGCUUCUAAUCAGGACCCGUUUGCCUCUCCCAGUCCUGGCAAGAAGUGUGUGGAUCAGUGAUGAGAUUAUGUGAGAAUAACACCAGGAAUUAGAUUUUGAAAAAAAUGCCUCUGAAUUAUCAGUUUUAAGAAAAUUGUCAGAACUGGGCAAUGCAGGAGAGUGGAAGAAACUGCACCUACAGCAGGGACCCAGUUAGACUUCUAUGCUAGAGUUUUUAGCCUACAGUCUAUCCACAUCAGCAUCCGUGUCCCCACAUGUGUGCUGAAAACAGUUCCAUGAGCGCAGUUGGCACCAAAGUGGAGAUGGGAAAGCAACGGGGGAACUAAUGGGAUGCACCAUAUAUACCAUGGCCCAGAACCCAUGGACUGCAGUAGCCUUCCCCUUCCACUGCACCUUACUGUGAAUUGCUUUGUUGGAGGGAGGACUCACCAGCCAAAAGUCAUGUUCAUGGCUUUUGGGCGCCAAUGGUGCUAGCAAACUCAGGGGCUGUCGUGUCCCUCUCCUAAGGCAGAGAAGUCAAGGUUGGACUGGCUGCUGUGAGCUCCUUCACCAUAUCUAUGCCCAAUCCCACUCCAGCUCUAGCAGGCCUUAUUAAGAGGUUGCUCAUCUCUUAAUAAGGAUAUGGAUAGGAAACAGCAAUAUUUCCCUUUCCCACAUGAUCAAGAGUGUGGAACUUGUUGCCAGUGAGUGGUGCUUGGGAAUGGAGGACGACGGCCACCCAUCCUCAGACUGGCAGAGUCAACCAGGAGGCCGUCAAGUAUGGUACUAAAGGUGGACAGAGGAUGACUACUUGCAUUUCAUGAUUAAAGAUUCUUCGGGCUCUUCCAGUUCGGCUGCUUCAUUUCAGGCAAUUAUUGGGUCAAUUCUAAGUUCUACUUACUUCUCCUUCUCCUCUAUAAAAUGAUGUCUGGGGAUUGGAAGAAAGGGUGAGGCUUAAGUGAUAUCAUGGCGGCCGUACAGAGGCGUCCUCAGUCUGAGUGCUAUUCUUUGGAUUCUGCUUAUGUGGCCAUGCAACUUGAACGAUGAUUUCUUACUGGACUGUUCUCUUGCUAGACUUAUGGAUCCCCUUGAGAUUUGGUUGCAACUCAGAGUCGACUCCAAUGUGGGUAACCAGGGUAACGUUUGCCCCAACAAUGGUCACUGAUCAUUUUUCAUUAUACAUCGUACUGGGUUGAACAGUGUGCCCCCAAGAUUCAUGUCUACCCGGAACCUCAGAAUGUGACUUUAUCUGGAAAUAGGGUCUUUGCAUAAUGUAAUUAGUUAUGAUGAGGCCAUAUUGGAUUAGAGUGGACCCUAAAUCCAAUGUGUCUUCAUAAAAAAUAGAGAACACACAGAGACACAGACUCAUGUGGAGGAGCAUGCUAUGCGAAGAUGGAGGCAGAGAUUGGAGUGAUGCAUCUACAAGCCAAGGAACAUCAAGGAUUGCCACAACCACCGGAGGCUAGGAAGAGGCAAGGAAGGAUCCUCCCCUAGAGGCUUCAGAGGGAGCGUGGCCCUGACAACACCUUGCUUCAGAACUGUGAGAGAAUACGUUUCUGUUGUUCUCAACCACCCAGUUUGUGGUAAUUUGUUACAGCAGCCCUGAGAAUCUGAUACAUGCACCAGUAAUAAAAGAUUUUUGAGCACACAUCUCCAAUAGAUGUAUAUUUCUUAAUUUACAAAUUAUGUACUGGUGACACUGUAUUCGUAUGCAAUGGUCCUCAUGAAACAUACACUAAACUUAGAAAUUUAAAAGGAUGUGAUAAAAAAAUAAAUAUGCUCAGAAUUUC